Molecule: ribosomal RNA, 745 nt
Filed under: uncultured bacterium
Lineage: Bacteria
Description: bacterial SSU rRNA
Rfam family: Bacterial small subunit ribosomal RNA
Source: RNAcentral
ACGCUGGCGGCAGGCCUAACACAUGCAAGUCGAGCGGUAGAGAGAAGCUUGCUUCUCUUGAGAGCGGCGGACGGGUGAGUAAUGCCUAGGAAUCUGCCUGGUAGUGGGGGAUAACGUCCGGAAACGGACGCUAAUACCGCAUACGUCCUACGGGAGAAAGCAGGGGACCUUCGGGCCUUGCGCUAUCAGAUGAGCCUAGGUCGGAUUAGCUAGUUGGUGGGGUAAUGGCUCACCAAGGCGACGAUCCGUAACUGGUCUGAGAGGAUGAUCAGUCACACUGGAACUGAGACACGGUCCAGACUCCCACGGGAGGCAGCAGUGGGGAAUAUUGGACAAUGGGCGAAAGCCUGAUCCAGCCAUGCCGCGUGUGUGAAGAAGGUCUUCGGAUUGUAAAGCACUUUAAGUUGGGAGGAAGGGCAGUAAAUUAAUACUUUGCUGUUUUGACGUUACCGACAGAAUAAGCACCGGCUAACUCUGUGCCAGCAGCCGCGGUAAUACAGAGGGUGCAAGCGUUAAUCGGAAUUACUGGGCGUAAAGCGCGCGUAGGUGGUUCGUUAAGUUGGAUGUGAAAUCCCCGGGCUCAACCUGGGAACUGCAUUCAAAACUGACGAGCUAGAGUAUGGUAGAGGGUGGUGGAAUUUCCUGUGUAGCGGUGAAAUGCGUAGAUAUAGGAAGGAACACCAGUGGCGAAGGCGACCACCUGGACUGAUACUGACACUGAGGUGCGAAAGCGUGGGGAGCAAAC